This 1662-nucleotide ribosomal RNA is filed under the name Klebsiella pneumoniae. RNAcentral's name for it is "bacterial LSU rRNA". It matches the Rfam family "Bacterial large subunit ribosomal RNA", at positions 1284 to 2925 of the family's 2925-position model. Lineage: Bacteria; Pseudomonadati; Pseudomonadota; Gammaproteobacteria; Enterobacterales; Enterobacteriaceae. The record is from RNAcentral.
AGAAGUGCGAAUGCUGACAUAAGUAACGAUAAAGCGGGUGAAAAGCCCGCUCGCCGGAAGACCAAGGGUUCCUGUCCAACGUUAAUCGGGGCAGGGUGAGUCGACCCCUAAGGCGAGGCCGAAAGGCGUAGUCGAUGGGAAACAGGUUAAUAUUCCUGUACUUGGUGUUACUGCGAAGGGGGGACGGAGAAGGCUAUGUUAGCCGGGCGACGGUUGUCCCGGUUUAAGCAUGUAGGCUGGUUAUCCAGGCAAAUCCGGAUAACCAAGGCUGAGGUGUGAUGACGAGGCACUACGGUGCUGAAGUAACAAAUGCCCUGCUUCCAGGAAAAGCCUCUAAGCAUCAGGUAACAUCAAAUCGUACCCCAAACCGACACAGGUGGUCAGGUAGAGAAUACCAAGGCGCUUGAGAGAACUCGGGUGAAGGAACUAGGCAAAAUGGUGCCGUAACUUCGGGAGAAGGCACGCUGGUGUGUAGGUGAAGUCCCUGCGGAUGGAGCUGAGACCAGUCGAAGAUACCAGCUGGCUGCAACUGUUUAUUAAAAACACAGCACUGUGCAAACACGAAAGUGGACGUAUACGGUGUGACGCCUGCCCGGUGCCGGAAGGUUAAUUGAUGGGGUUAUCCGUAAGGAGAAGCUCUUGAUCGAAGCCCCGGUAAACGGCGGCCGUAACUAUAACGGUCCUAAGGUAGCGAAAUUCCUUGUCGGGUAAGUUCCGACCUGCACGAAUGGCGUAAUGAUGGCCAGGCUGUCUCCACCCGAGACUCAGUGAAAUUGAACUCGCUGUGAAGAUGCAGUGUACCCGCGGCAAGACGGAAAGACCCCGUGAACCUUUACUAUAGCUUGACACUGAACAUUGAGCCUUGAUGUGUAGGAUAGGUGGGAGGCUUUGAAGCGUGGACGCCAGUCUGCGUGGAGCCAACCUUGAAAUACCACCCUUUAAUGUUUGAUGUUCUAACGUUGGCCCCUGACCGGGGUUGCGGACAGUGUCUGGUGGGUAGUUUGACUGGGGCGGUCUCCUCCCAAAGCGUAACGGAGGAGCACGAAGGUUAGCUAAUCCUGGUCGGACAUCAGGAGGUUAGUGCAAUGGCAUAAGCUAGCUUGACUGCGAGCGUGACGGCGCGAGCAGGUGCGAAAGCAGGUCAUAGUGAUCCGGUGGUUCUGAAUGGAAGGGCCAUCGCUCAACGGAUAAAAGGUACUCCGGGGAUAACAGGCUGAUACCGCCCAAGAGUUCAUAUCGACGGCGGUGUUUGGCACCUCGAUGUCGGCUCAUCACAUCCUGGGGCUGAAGUAGGUCCCAAGGGUAUGGCUGUUCGCCAUUUAAAGUGGUACGCGAGCUGGGUUUAGAACGUCGUGAGACAGUUCGGUCCCUAUCUGCCGUGGGCGCUGGAGAAUUGAGGGGGGCUGCUCCUAGUACGAGAGGACCGGAGUGGACGCAUCACUGGUGUUCGGGUUGUCAUGCCAAUGGCACUGCCCGGUAGCUAAAUGCGGAAGAGAUAAGUGCUGAAAGCAUCUAAGCACGAAACUUGCCCCGAGAUGAGUUCUCCCUGAGACUUUAAGUCUCCUGAAGGAACGUUAAAGACGAUGACGUUGAUAGGCCGGGUGUGUAAGCGCAGCGAUGCGUUGAGCUAACCGGUACUAAUGAACCGUGAGGCUUAACCUU